Rattus norvegicus (Norway rat) is the source of this 528-nucleotide long non-coding RNA. RefSeq lists it as uncharacterized. NCBI's taxonomy places the organism in Eukaryota, Metazoa, Chordata, Mammalia, Rodentia, Muridae. The record is from RefSeq and is a predicted model, not a curated record.
AAGCUCCAGACGCAAGCGCAAUGAAGCCUUCAGAGGGGCGGGACGAGGUCAGGGAGACAAAAGGCCGGUCUCUUAAAGCGGCGAUGCUCCGCGCACUUCGGAGGUGGGGCCACGGGUCGAACAGUCUUCCAGAUCUGAAAGAGAUCCCGGUGUCUUGAAGGGAGGCCUGGGAGACAUCCUGUUUCGGUCUGACUGCUCUGAAGUCACACAGUCUCUUUAUGCUGUUCAACUGUGGGUCUCUGUCAACUAUCUACUGUAAGAAGACGCUUCUUUGAUUUACCAAUGGCCUUAAUCUUUGCAAAGAUCUUAAAGAAACCAACAGUAAGAACCAUGCUCAGGGGGCUGGAGAGAUGACUCAGCACUGACUGCUCUUCCAGAGGAUCAAGGUUCAAUUCCAAGCAUUCGCAUGACAGCUCACAACUGUCUGUAGCUCCAGUUCCAGGGGAUCUGGCACUUUCAGACAUAAGUGAAAGCAAAACACCAAUGUACAUGAAAUAAAAGUAAAUAAAUCCUUAAAAAAAUAAGAAA